UACAGAGGUCUCAAGCGUUGUUCGGAUUCACUGGGCGUAAAGGGUGCGUAGGUGGUGGAGUAAGUUUGAUGUGAAAUCUCCGGGCUUAACCCGGAAACUGCAUUGAAUACUAUUUUGCUGGAGGUUUGGAGGGGGGACUGGAAUUCUCGGUGUAGCAGUGAAAUGCGUAGAUAUCGAGAGGAACACCAGUGGCGAAGGCGAGUCCCUGGACAACACCUGACACUGAGGCACGAAAGCUAGGGGAGCAAACAGG
This 253-nucleotide ribosomal RNA is filed under the name uncultured bacterium. Its description in RNAcentral is "partial 16S ribosomal RNA". It matches the Rfam family "Bacterial small subunit ribosomal RNA", at positions 524 to 776 of the family's 1533-position model. The record is from RNAcentral.